GUAGAAUGGGUCAUGAAGGAAAUUACCUCUACUAAUAAAUUACUACUAGAUUAUAGUGAUAAGGAAAACAGCAUACAAAUUUGGCUCGUGUAUUCAUUUGCCUAUAACUAAUCAUAAUUCCAUUUUCUUUUACAUAAAGAGAAUACUUCAAAAUGAGAAGAUCCUGCCAUGGAAAAGACGACUGGGCGGACAUAAAGUGGAAAGGAGGGGAAAUAAUUCACACCAUGCAGCAGGACACCUUCAGCUGCGGGGUUUUUGUAAUGCAGGUUUGAUAGUUAUAUUUUAAAUAAUUAAGCUGUUAUGUGACAAUUAGGUUAAACUAUUUUAUUUCUUGGUGUAGAUGGCCAAGGAAGUUGCACAGAACUUCCCCAACAUCCCCUCCCAAAUUGAUAUGGAACUUUCAAAAACACAUGGAGCAACUGCGAAAAGAAAUGGCUGAGGAUAUGCUAAAAAUGUCUGAGUUCAACAAAGCCAACUGCUUCAUGUGUGCCACUGAUAAAGAACCUGGAUGUGGCCCAAAGACUGACUGGGGCUAGGAACCCUCCAUGUUCAGGACCCUACCCAGGGCUGGCAUCUCUCAGCCUGUGGAUCUUCUCUUCUAUCCUGGCUGUAUGCUGGCUCUUCUCCUGCACCUCCUUCUCCACCUCCCUCCGAUUCCUGACCUCGUCUGACAGAUGAAUUACCUUUAAUACAAAGAAACACAGAAAAGUAUGUGAGGUGACCAAGGUUACUUCAGCUCCUCAUUUUCACUUUGUUUCAUUAGUUUUAUUUUAGUUUGACAGGUUUUAUAUUUACUUAUAUAUGUGUGUUGUGCUCUGUUGGUUCUGGUAUCAGUUAUAGUUUUAACAGUAUUCUAACCUGAAGUUUCACGUUUUUACUUUCUAUUGUUUCUUUUUCAUUUCGUUUUAGUUUCAAUGUUAGUCAAGCUUCAUUGUUCAAAGGCAGAGGGAUAGAUGACACUGUUAUAGUUAGAUCACUUUUAUACUGUAGUUAGGUUCAGAGAGAGGGAUAG
Molecule: long non-coding RNA, 1012 nt
Filed under: Salmo salar (Atlantic salmon)
Lineage: Eukaryota; Metazoa; Chordata; Actinopteri; Salmoniformes; Salmonidae
Description: lncRNA (ENSSSAG00000083299.1, ENSSSAG00000120980.1)
Source: RNAcentral